This 214-nucleotide unclassified non-coding RNA is filed under the name Hevea brasiliensis (rubber tree). Lineage: Eukaryota; Viridiplantae; Streptophyta; Magnoliopsida; Malpighiales; Euphorbiaceae. The record is from RNAcentral.
AAAAAAAAAAAAAAAAAACUCCACUGAGAUUGAGUUGGUAUUAGAGCAUCAAUUGGGUGAAUUAAGACGAAUUUUGCAAAUUUUCUUCUUCAUUCCCCCUUUCUACCGCAUCUAGAAAAUGGGAAGAUAGCUAGAAAAGACAAAAUAGGUGGAGUAGAACCAAUAAUAAAAAUUUUUAAAAAUUUUGAAGCUCGAUCCUGAAUAGAAGGGGGGA